RNAcentral lists this transfer RNA (74 nucleotides) under Chloroflexota bacterium. RNAcentral describes it as "Chloroflexi bacterium tRNA-Val". It matches the Rfam family "tRNA". From Rfam's summary of the family: Transfer RNA (tRNA) molecules are approximately 80 nucleotides in length. Their secondary structure includes four short double-helical elements and three loops (D, anti-codon, and T loops). The record is from RNAcentral. Lineage: Bacteria; Bacillati; Chloroflexota.
GGGCGGAUAGCUCAACAGGUCAGAGCGCUUCCCUUACAAGGAAGAGGUUCCAGGUUCGAGUCCUGGUCCGCCCA